Molecule: non-coding RNA, 2346 nt
Organism: Punica granatum (pomegranate)
Lineage: Eukaryota; Viridiplantae; Streptophyta; Magnoliopsida; Myrtales; Lythraceae
Source: RefSeq, a predicted model, not a curated record
UAUGCGAAAGAGAAGAGGCCGAUCGUGUAUCAUCAAAUUGCGUAGGGGUUGAGAGAGUCAUGUCGCAGGAGAGAUGGCACGCGUGCACCGCAGUAUUGUCAACUCGGAUAUAUAUAUGCCGGGGGUCGGUGGUGACAGAGCCAUGGUGUGCGCCAUCCUCCUGUGACAUGAUUCCCUUGCAAACCUCGACGCCCGUUGUCAUGUGCCUACAAGAGCCAACGGUCGUCCUGCAAAUACUAUUCCUCGCGCUAUGUCUCAACUUUAAGCCUGGUGGGAUAGAAUUCUACGAACGCGAGCUGAAAACCUACCAUGGGGCCAUGAGAUUUUUUUCGACGUGCGUCACCAAGUAUCCGAAAAUUCAAUGGGUCCCGACUAAUUAAGGGUUCAAGCUGGAUCGGCUCAAUGAGAGGUAAAACUCUUCAAAAUCAUGAAUUUUCUCUAUUUAUAUGGCUCAAAUCACAAAUCUUGUUCAACGGAAACAAGUAUCGGAUCGGUGACUUUAACCAGUCCAACUUUGGAUUUUCACCCAAAGUUUCGAUGGAUUGGAGUAGGCGGUCCAGGUGCUAUGAAUCAAAUACUUUUGGACUUAAGCCCAACCCACCACUCCAUGCAAGUAUAUCAAACAUUUUUGGACAUAUAGCACAAGUUGGGUUCACACUACGUAAAGGAUGCAAUUGAUGUGUGGUUUGGCAGCAAUGCGGAUAAAAAGAAAAAUUUACUGGAAUAAGAUUGCUAUAUAUAUAUAUAUAUAUAUUUCCUUUGAUAUGAAUUAAAGUAUUUGGAGACACUAAUUUGACCCCAAACUGAAACAGAAAGAAAAAUAAACAUCGAAGGGCCGUUGAUGGCACAAUAUCGAUGGUAGAAGGUCGCUAUUACAGCAGAUCAUACGUGGGAGAGACAUUGAUACCAAUUACUACACUGAAUUAAAUUAAUUGAUCGACAACUUUAUAUCAGUAGAUGAAAGGUUUUAUUUCAUAUAGCUGGAAUAUAGUAAAAUGUGACGACAUAUAUCAUUUUGAGACGUAUGGCAAGCGACAUAAGGCAAUUGCAUGAGAAUAUCGAUCGAGGUAGAAAAAAAGGCUAUCCACGAGACAAGUGAAGAUGAAAUUACACAGACAACCGAGCAUUAUUGACAAGAAUAUUGCAGAAUAACUAACUAACUAGACAUUCCUGAUCAAUUCUUUACUCGAAUCUUCUAUUCCGAUCGAUCUGCAGUUGCACCAUGAUACUGGCAAACCAUAACAUGAGAAAUGCAGUAAAAUUUCUAAUGGAAAACCCUAUCCGGGAAGAACUAAAGAAUGAACGGAUAAAUGCGUUCAUUUGAUGAACCAAAUUCCACACCGAUCUGCGUGUACUUAUUAAUUUUCUGUCGAAAGACAUCUGCUGGUUUAUACUUCUAUGCAGCUGAUGCGCAGUAUGUAUAGUAUCCAGGGACUGUCAAUUAUGAUGAAAUUGCAGAAAAUGACAUGAAUCUAUCCAUCUACUCUAUCCCUUGAAAGCUUGAUCGAUAACUUGGGUGAAAGUUUGCACUUUGUAGCCAAUCCUUGUUACUGCCUCUGAACACGGUGUAAUUCGUGUGACCAUGAAAUCGUACGUCUUUUCCAUGGGCGCAAUGGUUCAUCAUCAUGGUGCUUAGUUUCCACUAAUAUCAGAGUACGUAGUUUCCAUUAAUGGACGCGAUGGUUCAUCUUCAUGGUUCGCAAUUUUUUUCUCUAACGCUCUUGGAAGUUGUUGGGCGACCGCGUACCUUUGGUCACUCUGGACGAGAGGACUUUGAUUGCCAAGAUUGCUUUCGGAGUAUCAUGGCCGUUCAUCGAUCACCGGAUCAAGAUUGGAACGGUGGGUCCGUUCAUUGACCAUCGAAGCCUCAAGAUUGCGACGAGAGGCUGCGGCAUCUGCUUGAUUCACAAUGUCACGACCAUGAGUGUACACCCAAAAAUUCGAAGGCAAGGAUAGAGGGUGAUAUCGAUGAUCAUGAUCGUCCGGUUGCUCAGACGAUCUCCUAAAGGAAGCGAUCCAGGAGUUGAUCGCCUUCAGCUCUUGCUCAGCCCUGGCCACCUGCUGCUGGAGUUUUAUUAAAGUCCCAUAGCACCCGUAAACCGAGUCCUCGGCACGCCCGUUCACCUCAUAUAUAAUGGAGGUCAUGGUGUCUAUUAGGGAGAGAAUCGAGGGAUAUGAUAUAGAGGAAAUCAAUUAGGGAUAUCAAAGAAUAUUUGAUAUUUAUGAUAUUGUGUAAUCUUUGAUAUAUUUCAACAAUUGUUGCAUUCCAUCUACUAUAAAUAAGAAUACAUUCACACCAUUUGGUGUGUGUGACAUUCUAGCAAAUUCUCUAUAUUCUUUAUGGUA